RNAcentral lists this ribosomal RNA (467 nucleotides) under uncultured bacterium. RNAcentral's name for it is "bacterial SSU rRNA". It matches the Rfam family "Bacterial small subunit ribosomal RNA", at positions 355 to 825 of the family's 1533-position model. The record is from RNAcentral.
UAGGGAAUAUUGGGCAAUGGAGGGAACUCUGACCCAGCCAUGCCGCGUGCAGGAUGAAGGCGUUAUGCGUUGUAAACUGCUUUUUAUAUAGGAAGAAAUAGUCCUUGCGAGGAAAGUUGACGGUACUAUAUGAAUAGGCACCGGCUAACUCCGUGCCAGCAGCCGCGGUAAUACGGAGGGUGCAAGCGUUGUCCGGAUUUAUUGGGUUUAAAGGGUGCGUAGGCGGUUUAUUAAGUCAGUGGUGAAAGACGGUCGCUCAACGAUUGCAGUGCCAUUGAUACUGGUAGACUUGAGUAUGAUUGAGGUAGCUGGAAUGGAUAGUGUAGCGGUGAAAUGCAUAGAUAUUAUCCAGAACACCAAUUGCGUAGGCAAGUUACUAAGUCAUAACUGACGCUGAGGCACGAAAGUGUGGGUAUCAAACAGGAUUAGAUACCCCAGUAGUCCCUGAGCGGGCUGGCAAGGCGCAU